Molecule: long non-coding RNA, 586 nt
Filed under: Gallus gallus (chicken)
Lineage: Eukaryota; Metazoa; Chordata; Aves; Galliformes; Phasianidae
Description: long non-coding RNA NONGGAT004652
Source: RNAcentral
CGGGAGCACACAGGAUGAGGGGACUCCGUGCCCACUACCACCUCCUGCCUGACCAGGACGAGGACCUGCCCACAGACUGCACAGAGCCGGACAGCGAGGGGCAGCCGGGUUGGGAGGGGGCCCCAGUAACAGCCACAGCCCCAGAGGAGCCAUGCAGGCUGGUGCUGAGCACGCCAAGCAGCAUCCUGCAGGAAAGGGAGAUUGAGGAGGUGAGGGGCCCUCGCACGCCAAGAACUGGUCCAGCAUAAGGCUGGUGGGUGACAUCCUCUCUAUCCCCAGGGAGCAGAGGCAGCCAGCAGGGCUGGCACUGCCAGAGAAGGGGUGCCAAGCACUUGCCCCACGUGGGUUCCAGCACAGUGCCUCCAUUACCAUCCCCCUGCAUGGUUUCCUGCAGAGGUCGAUGGGGGAGCACACAUGGAUGGGCCAUGACCUGCAGCUCCCCAUGGACUCAGUGAGGGGUGCCUCGGGGUGACAGCCCUGGAGGUGCGAGGCCCCACACCCCACCAAAAGGUCAAGGUGUGGCUCAUCCUGAGCCAGCUGCCUGGUCUGCUCCUCCCUGAGCUUGUUCUCUGGCCUCCUGCAGGGG